RNAcentral lists this ribosomal RNA (1019 nucleotides) under Aegilops tauschii subsp. strangulata. Its description in RNAcentral is "rRNA SSU_rRNA_eukarya". It matches the Rfam family "Bacterial small subunit ribosomal RNA", at positions 875 to 1520 of the family's 1533-position model. The record is from RNAcentral. Lineage: Eukaryota; Viridiplantae; Streptophyta; Magnoliopsida; Poales; Poaceae.
GGGGAGUACGGUCGCAAGACCGAAACUCAAAGGAAUUGGCGGGGGCCUGCACAAGCGGUGGAGCAUGUGGUUUAAUUCGAUACAACGCGCAAAACCUUACCAGCCCUUGACAUAUGAACAACAAAACCUGUCCUUAACAGGAUGGUACUGACUUUCAUACAGGUGUUGCAUGGCUGUCGUCAGCUCGUGUCGUGAGAUGUUUGGUCAAGUCCUAUAACGAGUGAAACCCUCGUUUUGUGUUGCUGAGACAUGCGCCUAAGGAGAAAUUGCCACCGAGUGACGUGCCAGCGCUACUACUUGAUUGAAUGCCAGCACGUAGCUGUGCUUUUAGCAAGAAUUUCACCAUUGGGAGCCAGUGCCUUUUGAAGCACUUUCACGUGUGAACCGAAGUCGUCUUGUCCAAGACCCACGGAGACCUACCUAUAGUGACGUCAAAGUACUAGUGAGCAUGGAGGUUUGGUUGAAAUUGGUUACGACGACGUCGAGUUGGCGGCAGAGGAAGACUCGGCAUGAAGGCCAGAAAAUGGUGUGGAACGUAGUGGUAAUAGUACGCGCCCCGCUUCGAAACAAAGAAAAAGGUGCGUGCCGCACUCACGAGGGACUGCCAGUGAGAUACUGGAGGAAGGUGGGGAUGACGUCAAGUCUGCAUGGCCCUUAUGGGCUGGGCCACACACGUGCUACAAUGGCAAUGACAAUGGGAAGCAAGGCUGUAAGGCGGAGUGAAUCCGGAAAGAUUGCCUCAGUUCGGAUUGUUCUCUACAACUCGGGAACAUGAAGUUAAAAUCGCUAGUAAUCGCGGAUCAACAUGCCGCGGUGAAUAUGUACCCGGGCCCUGUACACACCGCCCGUCACACCCUGGGAAUUGGUUUCGCCCGAAGCAUCGGACCAAUGAUCACCCAUGACUUCUGUGUACCACUAGUGCCACAAAGGCCUUUGGUGGUCUUAUUGGCGCAUACCACGGUGGGGUCUUCGACUAGGGUGAAGUCGUAACAAGGUAGCCGUAGGGGAACCUGUGGCUC